AAACGAAAAAACCACCCGGCAAGGUGGUUUUUUCGAAGGUUCAAUAACCGGCAAGUUUUUGAACCGUGGUAACUGUCGUAAGAGGCGACGAGUAACCAAAUUUUGUCCUUCCAGUGUAGCCCUAAUUUAGCGCCUACAUCAAGAAAUCUCAUUACUCUCCGCCUCUUCCUGUUACCAAUGGCUGCCGCCACUGGCGAUUUUUCGUGCUAAUCAGGGUUGGAUUCAAGUCGGUUGUUACCUGAUGCAGCGCGGUAGUCGGACUAAACGGGGAGUUCGUGCAUAUAGUCCAGCUUGGAGCGAACCACCUACAAGGCACCCAGUUGCAUGGGAAGGAAUGAGAAAACGCCACCACGGUAACGGAACGGCGGUCUGCAACGGGUAAACCUCAUGGUGGGAACAGGAAAGCGCACGAGGGAGCGACUCAUCGGAAACGGUGGGGAUCUUUAAGUCCUGUCAGGUUUCGCCACUUCUGAUUUGAGCGCCGGAAAUUAUUCGAUUUCUGUGAUGUUCAUCAGGAGGGCGAAGCCUAUGGAAAA
RNAcentral lists this unclassified non-coding RNA (536 nucleotides) under Rahnella sp. WMR120. RNAcentral describes it as "RNA II". Lineage: Bacteria; Pseudomonadati; Pseudomonadota; Gammaproteobacteria; Enterobacterales; Yersiniaceae. The record is from RNAcentral.